Long non-coding RNA from Amaranthus tricolor (Joseph's coat), 628 nucleotides. RefSeq lists it as uncharacterized. The record is from RefSeq and is a predicted model, not a curated record. Lineage: Eukaryota; Viridiplantae; Streptophyta; Magnoliopsida; Caryophyllales; Amaranthaceae. The transcript is spliced from 3 exons.
UACUAACAGCGACUUAAAAAAAAAAAAAUUUUUUUUUUUUUAAAUUUUAAUAGUACUGAACUUGAAGUCGCUGUAAUUUAUUGUUUUUGGAGCAGCUCGUUUUUUAACCUUCAUACAAUUAUUUAAUAGUAGAUGAACUAACUAUAUAAACUUGUUAUUGUUUGAUUAAUCUUCCGAUGUGGGACUGUGUUCUGGAACACAUCAAAAUAAAUGAAACAAAAAAUUAGCUCACGAAUAGAGCACCGAUAUGGGACUGAGCACCGAAUAGAACACAUCAAACAGUUAUAAUGAUUGUAGUUGUGCAAGCAAGGGGUUGUUGGCUUCAUCAUGCUCGACCAUUUUUGCUCCUGAAUAUUCUCAUGCAUUUUUAAGUUCAAGGCAACUUAAAGACUCGUGUUUCAAAAAAUCUCAUUCCGAUCUCAUUGUUAGAGCUGGAAGGAGCUAUUAUUCUGUUCUUGGGGUUGAAGAAAAUGCUAGGAAGUCUGAUAUUAAAACUGCUUAUAAGAAGCUUGCACGGACGUACCAUCCUGAUGUAAACAAGUAAGUUGAACUUUGCCAUAUGGUCUUGUAGUAGUUUGUCUAAAUAAUACCUUAGAAAUCCUCUAAAUAUGUUCCUGAUGUGUUCUAU